GAUGAACGCUAGCGGCAGGCCUAAUACAUGCAAGUCGAACGAGAUUAAGAGGCUUGCUUCUUAUGAAAGUGGCGCACGGGUGCGUAACGCGUAUGCAACCUACCUUAAUCAGGGGGAUAGCCCGAAGAAAUUCGGAUUAAGACCGCAUAAAAACACAGGAUAGCAUUAUCCAUUGUUCAAAUAUUUAUAGGAUUAAGAUGGGCAUGCGUGUCAUUAGCUAGUUGGCGGGGUAACGGCCCACCAAGGCGACGAUGACUAGGGGAUCUGAGAGGAUGACCCCCCACAAUGGUACUGAGACACGGACCAGACUCCUACGGGAGGCAGCAGUAAGGAAUAUUGGUCAAUGGAGGGAACUCUGAACCAGCCAUGCCGCGUGCAGGAAGACAGCCCUCUGGGUCGUAAACUGCUUUUAUUCGGGAAUAAACCUUUCUACGUGUAGGAAGCUGAAUGUACCGAAGGAAUAAGAAUCGGCUAACUCCGUG
RNAcentral lists this ribosomal RNA (482 nucleotides) under uncultured bacterium. RNAcentral's name for it is "partial 16S ribosomal RNA". It matches the Rfam family "Bacterial small subunit ribosomal RNA", at positions 28 to 507 of the family's 1533-position model. The record is from RNAcentral.